AACGAACGCUGGCGGCAUGCCUAACACAUGCAAGUCGAACGAGACCUUCGGGUCUAGUGGCGCACGGGUGCGUAACGCGUGGGAACCUGCCCUUAGGUUCGGAAUAACUCCCCGAAAGGGGUGCUAAUACCGGAUAAUGUCUUCGGACCAAAGAUUUAUCGCCUUUGGAUGGGCCCGCGUUGGAUUAGCUAGUUGGUAGGGGAAAAGCCUACCAAGGCGACGAUCCAUAGCUGGUCUGAGAGGAAGAGCAGCCACACUGGGACUGAGACACGGCCCAGACUCCUACGGGAGGCAGCAGUGGGGAAUAUUGGACAAUGGGCGAAAGCCUGAUCCAGCAAUGCCGCGUGAGUGAUGAAGGCCUUAGGGUUGUAAAGCUCUUUUACCCGGGAUGAUAAUGACAGUACCGGGAGAAUAAGCUCCGGCUAACUCCGUG
This 433-nucleotide ribosomal RNA is filed under the name uncultured bacterium. RNAcentral's name for it is "partial 16S ribosomal RNA". It matches the Rfam family "Bacterial small subunit ribosomal RNA", at positions 29 to 507 of the family's 1533-position model. The record is from RNAcentral.